This 481-nucleotide long non-coding RNA is filed under the name Bos indicus x Bos taurus (hybrid cattle). RNAcentral describes it as "lncRNA (ENSBIXG00000018790.1)". The record is from RNAcentral. Lineage: Eukaryota; Metazoa; Chordata; Mammalia; Artiodactyla; Bovidae.
CCGCUCUCUGUGGGGGCCCCCCUUGAAGUGGUGCCCCACUGCGUGGGCUACAUCCGGAAACAGGGUCUGCCUUUGCGGAUGGAGCCUGGGGGCUUCAGGCUGCAAAUCACAGACUUCCAGCGUGGUGAUUUCUCACAGCCACCCUGAGACACAAACCCACACACUCAGCACUUUCUGCAGAUGACCUGUUAGACUGCAGACCUGUGGGGUCACAUUGGAUGAAGACUUCCUUCCUGCGACAUCUGCCUUUGGGCCUGGUCACCGCCCCGGGCUGCCUUUCCUGUGGUACUGGGAGGUUACAGGUCAAUCACUUCAUCCAAACACCAUAUACGUGAUUUUAUGGGAUAAGACCUCCGAAGAGCAACGUUCCUUGGGACUUUCAGAAUAGACUGUAUUUAGCAAAUUGUUGGUGACUCAGCAGUAAAGAAUCCACCUACAAUACAGGAGCCACAGGAGACGUGGGUUUGAUCCCUGGGUCAGG